Molecule: ribosomal RNA, 909 nt
Filed under: uncultured bacterium
Lineage: Bacteria
Description: bacterial SSU rRNA
Rfam family: Bacterial small subunit ribosomal RNA
Source: RNAcentral
AGAGUUUGAUCCUGGCUCAGAACGAACGCUGGCGGCGUGCUUAACACAUGCAAGUCGAGUGCGCGUUUCCGUAGCAAUACGGAAAUGGCGCACGGCGCACGGGUGCGUAACACGUGGGUAAUCUGCCCUUCGAUGGGGAAUAACCCCGGGAAACCGGGGCUAAUUCCGCAUAACAUUCCGAGGACUUCGGUCUUUGGAUUCAAAGCCGUAAGGCGUCGGAGGAGGAACCCGCGCACGAUUAGCUAGUUGGUAGGGUAACGGCCUACCAAGGCUAUGAUCGUUAGCUGGUCUGAGAGGAUGGCCAGCCACACUGGAACUGAGACACGGUCCAGACUCCUACGGGAGGCAGCAGUGGGGAAUCUUGCACAAUGGGCGAAAGCCUGAUGCAGCGACGCCGCGUGGGGGAUGAAGCAUUUCGGUGUGUAAACCCCUUUCGACUGGGACGAAUGCCUCGCAAGAGGAGUGACGGUACCAGUAGAAGAAGCCCCGGCUAACUACGUGCCAGCAGCCGCGGUAAGACGUGGGGGGCCAGCGUUGUUCGGAAUUACUGGGUGUAAAGGGUUCGUAGGCGGUGCGGCAAGUUGGGAGUGAAAUCUCUGGGCUUAACCCAGAGGCUGCUUCCAAAACUGCUGUGCUUGAGUGUGGGAGAGGCGCGUGGAAUUGCAGGUGUAGCGGUGAAAUGCGUAGAUAUCUGCAGGAACACCCGUGGCGAAAGCGGCGCGCUGGACCACAACUGACGCUGAGGAACGAAAGCUAGGGGAGCAAACAGGAUUAGAUACCCUGGUAGUCCUAGCCCUAAACGAUCAGGACUUGGGGUGCCGCCCGUUCGGGCGUCGUCCCGGAGCUAACGCGUUAAGUCCUGCACCUGGGGAGUACGGUCGCAAGACUGAAACUCAAAGGAAUUGACGG